AUGGUGGGCAGAAUUGAGGACUUAGAUGAAGAGGUACACUUGGCGCUCCUGCCCAGCUUCUCGUGGACGCGGCUCUUUCUGCUCCUGGCUGCCACCCACUGGCUGGCCGCGGCCCUGGUCUGGGCUGCACCAGCCCUGGGCUGCACCAGCCUUGCGGCGGCUCCCAAGGCCGCCCCGCCCCGAGCAGCGUCCCCACACCAUGCACCUUCUGCGGGACCUGCUGGCAGUGCCGGGGACUCUGUGGACUGCAGGCUUUGUGCUCACCUACAAGCUGGGUGAGCAGGGUGCCAGCAGCCUGUUUCCUCUUCUCCUGCUGGACCGCGGCGUUUCUGCCCCCGAGCUGGGACUGUGGAAUGGUGUGGGUGUCAUGGUGUGCUCCAUCGCUGGCUCCUUCCUGGAUGGGACAUUGCUGGCCAAGCACCGGGAGCCGCUGCCUCUGCUGAAGUCAGUGUUGCGGCUCCGCCUUGGGGGCUUGGCCUGCCAGACUGACUUGCUCUUCCGCCUGGAUACCCUGGGUGCCAGGUUGGGCCCUGGCACAAUCUUGAGAGGGGCAGCCUUGCUGAGCCUUUGUCUGCAGCACUUCUUGGGAGGCCUGGUCCCCACAGCCACCUUCACUGGGAUGAUGCGCUGCAGCCAGCUGGCCCCCAGGGCCCUGCAGGCCACACAUUACAACCUUCUGACCAUUCUGCAGCUGCUGGGGAAGCUGCUGCUGGGUGCUCUGGCUGGAGCCCUGGCCGACGGGUUAGGGCCACAUCCCUGCUUCUCCCUCCUGCUCAUCCUCUCUGCCCUGCCCCUUCUGUACCUGGGCCUAGCAUCCAGCACCUUGCUCUGAGCUGGGCAGCUGGACAGCUCAAUAAAGCCACAUGUGCUUGUGACCC
Non-coding RNA from Callithrix jacchus (white-tufted-ear marmoset), 878 nucleotides. Lineage: Eukaryota; Metazoa; Chordata; Mammalia; Primates; Cebidae. The record is from RefSeq and is a predicted model, not a curated record.